Molecule: long non-coding RNA, 565 nt
Filed under: Equus asinus (donkey)
Lineage: Eukaryota; Metazoa; Chordata; Mammalia; Perissodactyla; Equidae
Description: lncRNA (ENSEASG00005027250.1)
Source: RNAcentral
AAUUGAUGGUUACAGCUAGAGGCUGAAAAGCUGUUUGUCUGUUUCAUGAGCUCAAGUCCUACCAUGUGACCUUAAGCAGGGGCCGCCCCCCGACACUCCAGUGCGACUCUGCGUGCACAGGCCAGAGGCUCAGAACCAGCGCCGGGCUGCCCUGCUCGGCCUCCUGGGCGCAGCGGCGUUUGCCCGUGCACGUGCCCUCGCAUCGCGCGCUCCGGGGCCGGGCUCCGGGCGGUUCUCGCCGCUGCAGUUCCACCGGGACUUCCGCGCUUCGGCGGCCUGUCUGACGAGCCGCCGCGCCCAGAGAGGUUCAGGUUGGAGCGACACUUCCCAGAGGGCAGCGGUCACGCCAGAUCUUUGGCUUCCAUUCCGUUUUCGCGCGCUUCUCCCACUUUGCAAGCUCUGGAUUCUCUUUGUUCUUUCCCAGUAGAGGAAUCCCAAGGAGGACUGAUCCGUUUUGGCAGGUGCACAACCAUGCCAAGUGGCUGUGAGGAGAGAAGAGGAGGAAGCGCCAGGCAGCCCAGAGCCACCAGACAGUGACGCCACAGAGCCACAGCCAUCACACCUG